This 475-nucleotide ribosomal RNA is filed under the name uncultured bacterium. RNAcentral describes it as "bacterial SSU rRNA". It matches the Rfam family "Bacterial small subunit ribosomal RNA", at positions 326 to 793 of the family's 1533-position model. The record is from RNAcentral.
GCGAGAGUCACGUCUACGGGAGGCAGCAGUGGGGAAUAUUGCACAAUGGGCGCAAGCCUGAUGCAGCCAUGCCGCGUGUAUGAAGAAGGCCUUACGGGUUGUAAAGGUACUUUCAGCAGUGAGGAAGUGGGUAUGUUAAUAGCAUAUUCAUUUGACGUUAGCUGCAGAAGAAGCACCGGCUAACUCCGUGCCAGCAGCCGCGGUAAUACGGAGGGUGCGAGCGUUAAUCGGAAUUACUGGGCGUAAAGCGCAUGCAGGUGGUUUGUUAAGUCAGAUGUGAAAGCCCGGGGCUCAACCUCGGAAUUGCAUUUGAAACUGGCAAACUAGAGUACUGUAGAGGGGGUAGAAUUUCAGGUGUAGCGGUGAAAUGCGUAGAGAUCUGAAGGAAUACCGGUGGCGAAGGCGGCCCCCUGGACAGAUACUGACACUCAGAUGCGAAAGCGUGGGGAGCAAACAGGAUUACAUACCCUGGUAG